UACGUAGGUGGCAAGCGUUGUCCGGAUUUAUUGGGUUUAAAGCGCGUGUAGGCGGCUUCGUAAGUCCGUUGUGAAAGUCCAGGGCUCAACCCUGGAAUGCCGAUGGAUACUGCGGAGCUAGAGUCCGGAAGAGGCGAGUGGAAUUCCUGGCGUAGCGGUGAAAUGCGCAGAUAUCAGGAGGAACACCAAUGGCGAAGGCAGCUCGCUGGGACGGUACUGACGCUGAGACGCGAAAGCGUGGGGAGCAAACAGG
RNAcentral lists this ribosomal RNA (253 nucleotides) under uncultured bacterium. Its description in RNAcentral is "partial 16S ribosomal RNA". It matches the Rfam family "Bacterial small subunit ribosomal RNA", at positions 524 to 776 of the family's 1533-position model. The record is from RNAcentral.